Molecule: ribosomal RNA, 824 nt
Filed under: Scyphosphaera apsteinii
Lineage: Eukaryota; Haptophyta; Coccosphaerales; Pontosphaeraceae
Description: partial Bacterial large subunit ribosomal RNA
Rfam family: Bacterial large subunit ribosomal RNA
Source: RNAcentral
UGGUGGAUGCCUUGGCGUAUGGAGGCGAUGAAGGACGUGUUAGGCUGCGAUAAGCCCGGAGGAGCUGCCAAAGAGCUUUGAUCCCGGGAUGUCCGAAUGGGGAAACCCACCCCUUUAGGGGUACCGGCAUCUGAAUACAUAGGAUGUCGGAGCGAACGCGGGGAAUUGAAACAUCUUAGUACCCGUAGGAAAGGAAAUCGAAGAGACUCCGUUAGUAGUGGCGAGCGAACGCGGACUAGGCCAGUGGCCUUUUGCAAGUAACCGGAACAGUCUGGAAAGUCUGGCAUUAGUGGGUGACAGCCCCGUACGGAUACAGCUUGCAUUGGGUCCUUGAGUAGGGCGGAACACGUGAAAUUCUGUCUGAACAUGGGGCGACCACGCUCCAAGCCUAAGUACUCCCAUACGACCGAUAGCGAACCAGUACCGUGAGGGAAAGGUGAAAAGCACCCCGAUAAGGGGAGUGAAAUAGACCCUGAAACCGGACGUCUACAAUCAGUGGAAGACCGCAAGGUCGACCGCGUACCUUUUGUAUAAUGGGUCAGCGACUUAAUCUGGCAUGCAAGCUUAAGCCGAUAGGUGUAGGCGCAGCGAAAGCGAGUCUUAAAAGGGCGAUUGAGUAUGUCGGAUUAGACCCGAAGCCGAGUGAUCUAGCCAUGGGCAGGUUGAAGGUGCGGUAACACGCUCUGGAGGACCGAACCCGAGAACGUUGAAAAGUUCCGGGAUGACCUGUGGUUAGGGGUGAAAGGCCAAUCAAACUUGGAGAUAGCUCGUUCUCCCCGAAAUAAUUUUAGGAUUAGCGUGUUGUUAAAGUGUAGCGGAGGUAG